GCAUUGGUGGUUCAAUGGUAGAAUUCUCGCCUCCCACUUGAGAGACCCAGGUUCAAUUCCUGGCCAAUGUG
This is a non-coding RNA of Cricetulus griseus (Chinese hamster), 71 nucleotides long. NCBI's taxonomy places the organism in Eukaryota, Metazoa, Chordata, Mammalia, Rodentia, Cricetidae. The record is from Rfam.